This is a regulatory RNA element of Oceanimonas sp. GK1, 125 nucleotides long. It matches the Rfam family "Gammaprotebacteria rimP leader". Lineage: Bacteria; Pseudomonadati; Pseudomonadota; Gammaproteobacteria; Aeromonadales; Aeromonadaceae. The record is from Rfam.
CGCUGCGAGGCGACAAUCAGGGUCCAGGUGAAUAGCCCCGAUUUGAACAUCGGGGCUUUUUGUUAUCUGAACUUUGGCACCGGCAUGGCCGAUGCAACUAUUACUGGGCUGCGAGCCCUUUUUUU